AACGAACGCUGGCAGCAUGCCUAACACAUGCAAGUCGAACGAGACCUUCGGGUCUAGUGGCGCACGGGUGCGUAACGCGUGGGAACCUGCCCUUAGGUUCGGAAUAACUCCCCGAAAGGGGUGCUAAUACCGGAUAAUGUCUUCGGACCAAAGAUUUAUCGCCUUUGGAUGGGCCCGCGUUGGAUUAGCUAGUUGGUAGGGUAAAAGCCUACCAAGGCGACGAUCCAUAGCUGGUCGGAGAGGAUGAUCAGCCACACUGGGACUGAGACCAGGCCCGAACUCCAAGGGAGGCAGCAGUGGGGAAUAUUGGACAAUGGGCGAAAGCCUGAUCCAGCAAUGCCGCGUGAGUGAUGAAGGCCUUAGGGUUGUAAAGCUCUUUUACCCGGGAUGAUAAUGACAGUACCGGGAGAAUAAGCUCCGGCUAACUCCGUG
This 432-nucleotide ribosomal RNA is filed under the name uncultured bacterium. Its description in RNAcentral is "partial 16S ribosomal RNA". It matches the Rfam family "Bacterial small subunit ribosomal RNA", at positions 29 to 507 of the family's 1533-position model. The record is from RNAcentral.